GGACUGAAUUCGAUACAAACCCGCGCGUUCUGACCACUGUAACUCAUGGAUAUUCUGUCUUGAUCAAAUGAAAAGAGAAUAUAUGUCUGUUUUCAUACAAGGACAGAUGAGGUUUGCCAUUUAAGCCAACCCCUCCAAAUUGGAGAGAUGAGGGAAGCUGCCUCAAUAAGUGCCCAGUGGGAAAGAACUAUUUUGGUCUCAAGCGUAUGGAUGUGUGCCAUGUGCCUUCUGUGACAGGCAAUGAACUCCUCAGGAGCAGAGGGGAUGCUGGGUCCUCCUACAUUUAUGGCUGUCACAGUGACAGUGUGUCUCUGGCCACACCCCACGGGCACAAGAGAACAGGGGCCAGUUGUAGAGGUACAGUUGAUCCCUUCAGAGCUGAGAGCCAGGUAGCCCCCGGCCCCCCGAGACGAUGUCCAGGACACAGACACACCAGCACCAGAGCCCACCAUUGUCAACUGAAGCUCGAUGAAUCCAGGGAUGGGUGGGCCUGGAGGGGAAGAGAGACACGAGCACACACAAAGACGGUGAAGUCGUCUCCCUGUCUGUGCUCCGGGUCCCAGGCAUUGCUCUUGAUGCAGUAAGUGGUCCCGGCCUCCAGGUCGGGGAAGGUCAC
This is a long non-coding RNA of Esox lucius (northern pike), 616 nucleotides long. RefSeq lists it as uncharacterized. The record is from RefSeq and is a predicted model, not a curated record. NCBI's taxonomy places the organism in Eukaryota, Metazoa, Chordata, Actinopteri, Esociformes, Esocidae. The transcript has 4 exons.